This 1548-nucleotide ribosomal RNA is filed under the name Triticum aestivum (bread wheat). RNAcentral describes it as "partial small subunit ribosomal RNA". Lineage: Eukaryota; Viridiplantae; Streptophyta; Magnoliopsida; Poales; Poaceae. The record is from RNAcentral.
AUGGCGACGCUUCUCCUCCCCUCCCACGCGGCCAGCCACCACCGCCGCGCCGUCUUCUCCGGCGGCGCGCACCAUCACCCGCUUCUCCAGCCGGACCUCCUCGGGGACGCCCUGCACGCCGCGGCGAGCAGGAGGCGCAGGCCCAUCGCGGUGGCGUGCCGGGCGGCGUCAGCCGCGGCCAGGGCCAAGGCGCCCCCGACCGCGAACGCGGGCCCGCCGCCGCAGGCGCUGGCCAAGGAGGCGCACAAGUACUUCGACCACGCCGUCGUCAGCGUGCGCGCGGGGGACGGCGGCCACGGCGCCGUCCUCAACAUGCCGCCGGGCCCCUCCGCGGACGCGGCCCCCGCCAAGACCCGCGGCGGCGGCGGCAGAGCCGCCGACAAGGGCAAGGCCAAGAAGGGCAGCGGGAAGAAGGUGUCGUUCAAGCGGAACUACGAUGGGUCGGUGUCGCUGCCCGUGGGCGGGCACGGCGGCGACGUGGUGCUCUACGCCGACGAGGCGGAGGAGUCGCUGCUGGGGUUCCACGCCAAGGCCCGGCACUGCGCCAAGAGGGGCGGCAACGUCGGGGCCACCGGCACCCUCAGCUCCCGGAUGCACAACGGCUUCGCCGGGGAGACGCUCAGGAUACCCGUGCCUGUAGGUACAGUUGUGAGGCGCAAGAAAGGGUCUGUUCUUGCCGAUUUGGCUCAUCCUGGUGAUGAGGUGCUCGUCGCUAGGGGUGGACAGGGCGGGAUUAGCUUGAUUGAUGCGCCUGAUUACAAAAGGGGGAAAGCCAUGGCUUUAUCGCCUAAUGUCAUGCGUGAUGUUACUGAUAAGGUAUUAACUCAUGGCCAGCCUGGUGAGGAAAUAAGCUUGGAGUUAAUCUUAAGGGUGGUUGCAGAUGUUGGCCUUGUGGGACUUCCAAAUGCUGGAAAAUCAACACUUCUAUCAGCUAUAACACUUGCAAGACCAGACAUUGCUGAUUAUCCGUUCACUACAUUGAUGCCAAAUCUUGGCCGGCUUGGUGGAGAUCCCACUUUAGGGGCUAUGCAGUUUUCCUCUGGAGCAACAUUGGCAGAUUUGCCAGGUCUUAUUGAGGGCGCUCAUCUGGGCAAGGGUCUUGGUCGCAAUUUCUUGAGACAUUUGAGGAGAACGAGGGUAAUUGUCCAUGUCGUUGAUGCUGCUGCUGAUGACCCUGUGAACGAUUAUAAGAUUGUCAGAGAUGAAUUAAGGAUGUAUAACCCCAAAUACCUGGAGCGGCCUUAUGUUGUGGUCCUGAACAAGAUUGAUCUUCCUAAGGCCCAAGAUAGGUUAUCUUCAUUAGCACUUGAAAUAUCUUCAGUAGGCUGUGAAGAAUGCCACGACAACAAUACCAGCAAAGAAAAGCUAAAUGAAAAUUUCAACAGACACCAUAUGUCAGAAGACGAUGAUAAGGAACUUGGGGACUAUCCAAGACCUCAAGCUGUAAUCGGUGCAAGCGUACUGAGGCACAUCGGGAUCGACGAGAUGCUGAAGGAAAUCAGGACAGCCCUGGGAAAAUGCUCCGAUCACAUGUCACCAGGACCAUGA